CGUCCGGCCAUGGAUUUCUCCACGUCCACGGACGUGUUGGCGGCGGUCCUGCAACGGCUCCCACCUUGCGCCCGGCGCCGUGCCCGCCGUGCCCGCCUCGUCUGCAAGCUCUGGCGCGAGACCGUCGACGAACGCACGACGGAGAUGCACAGCCGCGCCAAGGUCCUCCUCUGGAACACCCGCACCGCCGUCGCCUACGUCGUCGUCGAUGACACCUCGUCGUCGCCCACGGGGAGCUACAGGGAGCUGUGGAGCGGCGGUAGGCCCCCCAUGUAUUCCCAAUGGGAUGCCGAGCUGCAGCUGGUCGGCACAUGCAACGGCCUGCUCUGCGUCAGCGACAACGGCGGGAGCACCGACGGCGAGGUCGCCCUGGUCAACCCGGUGACCAGCGAGGCGCUGCCCCUCCCGCCGCUGCCGUGCGGCGACCAGCUCGCCGGCGACCGACGCUCCUGCAGGUGGGACAAGGCGUACAGCUUCGCCUACCACCCGACGUCCGGGCGGUACAAGGUGGUGCACGUCCCCUGCACCUUCGAGAGGGCCUACGACUUCGACGCCGUGCAGGUGCUCACGGUGGAAAAAGAGGCGACGUGGAAGGGCGGCGCGGCGAGGGUGGUGUCUUUAAGCCUCGACGACGACGAGCGCGUCGCCGGCUUCGCCUUGCCGUCGCCUGCUCUUUCCGCCGGCUCCGAUAACUACCACCUGGCGGAGGUGCGCGGGCGGCUGGCCGUCGUCGUCCACGAUCCCUUCGCGAGCACGACCGGGGUGUGGGUACGAGGGGAGAAGGGGAGGUGGACUCGCCGGUGCGGCCUCUGGUCGCAAGACCCCACGCGGCCGCACUUCGUGCACGGCGAGCACGUCACCACGUUUCAAGGGUCGUCGUUGCGCGGCCACCGGCGGAAAGGCACGCGGCUGUUGUCGUCCCCAUGCGACGUGACGGUCAGCGACAAGGACCAGGGGACGCUGCUCGCCAAGGUCAAGGGCGGGGCUCGCCACUACCGGACGUUCGCCUACGUCGAGACGACGGAGCCAUUGGGUGCUUAU
This 1041-nucleotide ribosomal RNA is filed under the name Triticum aestivum (bread wheat). RNAcentral's name for it is "partial small subunit ribosomal RNA". The record is from RNAcentral. Lineage: Eukaryota; Viridiplantae; Streptophyta; Magnoliopsida; Poales; Poaceae.